GCAGGCUCACUCUGCGUGUGACUACAAUAGUUACAGUGCUUUUAAAGUCUGCUAGAGUAGCAGUCCAGAAUAAAACAAACAUGUCCUUCCUUGUGGAUUUCUGUUUCAAUUGUCUUGGCACAUCACA
Notechis scutatus (mainland tiger snake) is the source of this 127-nucleotide small nucleolar RNA. Lineage: Eukaryota; Metazoa; Chordata; Lepidosauria; Squamata; Elapidae. The record is from Ensembl.